GCAGGCCAAAAGUAACCAGAUAUGAACCGCACCAUUUGGUAGCGAUGUUUUUGUCGACGGCGACGACGACGGUUAUAACUUGCGGUCGACCUAAAUACCAUCAGACACAUAUGUCUACUUUUAAAAACCACCGCAUUGAUCUUAUUAUUUUUUCUGUUCACCUGCGCAGUACCUACUGCAGUAUUAUGGCUGCAGCAGCACUUAUAGCCUGCACUAUAUUAAGCAUCCUCGAAUCUAUAGACGCGUUUCUUUAUACCUAUUAUGUACUAUAAAAUCGCGACCUUUCCGUCUUCUUUUCAUAACGUUUUGCAUUUCCCGACGA
This is a non-coding RNA of Cinara cedri, 322 nucleotides long. Lineage: Eukaryota; Metazoa; Arthropoda; Insecta; Hemiptera; Aphididae. The record is from the annotation of a GenBank genome assembly.